AGUGAACGCUGGCGGUAGGCCUAACACAUGCAAGUCGAACGGCAGCACAGUAAGAGCUUGCUCUUACGGGUGGCGAGUGGCGGACGGGUGAGGAAUACAUCGGAAUCUACUUUUUCGUGGGGGAUAACGUAGGGAAACUUACGCUAAUACCGCAUACGACCUACGGGUGAAAGCAGGGGAUCUUCGGACCUUGCGCGAUUGAAUGAGCCGAUGUCGGAUUAGCUAGUUGGCGGGGUAAAGGCCCACCAAGGCGACGAUCCGUAGCUGGUCUGAGAGGAUGAUCAGCCACACUGGGAGUGAGACACGGUCCAGACUCCUACGGGAGGCAGCAGUGGGGAAUAUUGGACAAUGGGCGCAAGCCUGAUCCAGCCAUACCGCGUGGGUGAAGAAGGCCUUCGGGUUGGAAAGCCCUUUUGUUGGGAAAGAAAAGCAGCAGGUUAAUACCCCGCUGUUCUGACGGUACCCAAAGAAUAAGCACCGGCUAACUUCGUG
RNAcentral lists this ribosomal RNA (492 nucleotides) under uncultured bacterium. RNAcentral describes it as "partial 16S ribosomal RNA". It matches the Rfam family "Bacterial small subunit ribosomal RNA", at positions 29 to 507 of the family's 1533-position model. The record is from RNAcentral.